RNAcentral lists this ribosomal RNA (429 nucleotides) under Bacillota bacterium. RNAcentral describes it as "Firmicutes bacterium partial 16S ribosomal RNA". It matches the Rfam family "Bacterial small subunit ribosomal RNA", at positions 355 to 776 of the family's 1533-position model. The record is from RNAcentral. Lineage: Bacteria; Bacillati; Bacillota.
UAGGGAAUCUUCCGCAAUGGACGCAAGUCUGACGGAGCAACGCCGCGUGAGUGAAGAAGGGUUUCGGCUCGUAAAACUCUGUUGUUAAGGAAGAAUGACAGGCAGAGUAACUGCUGCCUGUGUGACGGUACUUAACCAGAAAGCCACGGCUAACUACGUGCCAGCAGCCGCGGUAAUACGUAGGUGGCAAGCGUUAUCCGGAAUUAUUGGGCGUAAAGCGCGCGUAGGCGGUUUUUUAAGUCUGAUGUGAAAGCCCCCGGCUCAACCGGGGAGGGUCAUUGGAAACUGGGGAACUUGAGUGCAGAAGAGGAGAGUGGAAUUCCAUGUGUAACGGUGAAAUGCGCAGAGAUAUGGAGGAACACCAGUGGCGAAGGCGGCUCUCUGGUCUGUAACUGACGCUGAUGUGCGAAAGCGUGGGGAUCAAACAGG